UACGUAGGGGGCAAGCGUUGUCCGGAAUCAUUGGGCGUAAAGAGCGUGUAGGCGGUUCGGUAAGUCGGCUGUGAAAGUCCAGGGCUCAACCCUGGGAUGCCGGUCGAUACUGCCGGACUAGAGUCCGGAAGAGGAAAGUGGAAUUCCUGGUGUAGCGGUGAAAUGCGCAGAUAUCAGGAAGAACACCAAUGGCGAAAGCAGCUUUCUGGGACGGUACUGACGCUGAGACGCGAAAGCGUGGGGAGCGAACAGG
Molecule: ribosomal RNA, 253 nt
Filed under: uncultured bacterium
Lineage: Bacteria
Description: partial 16S ribosomal RNA
Rfam family: Bacterial small subunit ribosomal RNA
Source: RNAcentral